UUACUUCGGAGCAGAGAAAACGAAAAAUAAAAAUGUCACAUUCUGAAUUUGAAUGAUUGCAAUGAUAUGAUAUAAAAAGAGAGGAUGUGGUUAGAGUGCCAAUGAGACAACUCUUAACAAGAGACUAAGAUGACACAGCAAUUGACAACUAUAUGCUACCGUAUGGCGUUCAACAAAAAACAACCAAUACAGACCAUACUGCUUAGACAGCUAUAAAAAAAACUCCCCGAAAUGAUAAAUUUUAAACAAUUCAAGCGAGAAAACUGCCGGAC
This 272-nucleotide long non-coding RNA is filed under the name Mytilus galloprovincialis (Mediterranean mussel). Lineage: Eukaryota; Metazoa; Mollusca; Bivalvia; Mytilida; Mytilidae. The record is from RNAcentral.